CCGGGGCGGUGCGGAGGGCCGGGGCAGCGCGGCGAGCCUGGAGCUAAGUCGCUGGGGAGGUGGGAAAGGGCCCGGGCAUCCAGGCCUGAGGCCUGAGAGGGCAGCGGUCGGGACCCUCGGGCAAUGAGAGCAAGGUAGAGUCCAUCCGAGAGGACACGUCCGCGGUUUGCUGCAAAAAGCCCCCUUUGGCUGCUGCGUGGAGGGAGGCUCCGGAGAGCGUGGAAUCAGAGGACCUGUGGCAUCUGCCCACUACUGGCUGCGGAGCUUGGCCAUCCUGGCAUGUUUUGAUCCUCCCUCUACAACCCUCUGGGGCAGACUGUUUGCUAUGAAGGAUGCAGAGGUGAGUCUCCAACAGCUGAAGUCACAGUGACCAGAAUAGUGGCCCUUUGUGGACAGAACCUUGUCAGGGCCCCCAUCCCGGAGUCGCCUCUGUCCCCUGCUCCCAGCUGUGACUUGGGCCCAUUAUGCCACCUGAAAACUGUCUUGCCUGUUCCAUUGGGGACAAACUGAAGCUCCAGGCUCUGCAGUUGGCUCAGAAGCGGUUUCAAGAAGGAAUGUUGCUGUGAGGCUGUCCUGGGGCCUCUGCAGGAAGGAGCCCACCAGCUCCUCCUGGAGGUAGGAGGGCAGGCAGCCAGACCUCUCCCCAAAUUUGGAGGCCUGGCCCCUGGUAUCUAAAGCUGUUUCCAGAUCCUGCAGUGAUAGUGCCAUUCCUUUGAGUGGGUUUUCCCCACCAGCAUGCAUCCCCUGGUGGCCUUGUCCUUCCUGUAGCGUCCUCUGGGCCCAUCCUGAUCCCCCAGGCUCUGGGGCUUAUCAAGGACUCAUGGGCCUCACUGUGCACAGCCUGCUCUGUGCCUGUUACUGGGUGCCAUGCUGUAGAAUCCACUGCCCCCUUUCCAUAACCUUAUGAGAGAGGGAUACCAUUGGUCCUGUUUUCCAAUGAGGAACCCAGAGAGCAGAGACCUUCCCAGUGCCAACAGAAAGUGAGAGGAGGAGCAGGGGUGGACUCCUGCUGCCUGGCUACCCUCUGAAGCUAGUCUAGCUCUUGGCAUGCCUGGGGGCCAGGUACCUCCAAACCACGUCAGGCCAGAGUCUCAGCUUACUGCAACGCAAAAGAUGUGCCUUUGUGUCCAGAGUUGGUUCUUUCCGGUGGGUCCUUGGUCUCGCUGACUUCAAGAAUGAAGCCACGGAUCUUCGCGGUGUUACAGCUUUUAAAGGUGGCACGGACCCAAAGAGUGAGCAACAGCAAAAGAACAAAGCUUCCACAGCAUGAAAAUUGACCCCAGAGGGUUGCCGGCUGAUAGCUGCGGGGGGGGGGGGGGGGUGCGGGGAAGGGAAGGUGGUGGUGGUGGUGGCCAGCUUUUAUUCCCUUAUUUGUCCCCACCCACAUCCUGCUGAUUGCCCAUUUUACAGAGAGCUGAUUGGCCCAUUUUACAGAGUGCUGACUGGUCCAUUUUACAGUGCUGAUUGGUCCAUUUUACAAACCUCUAGCUAGCCACAGAGCACUGAUUGGUGCGUUUUACAAUCCUAGCUACAGAGUGCUGAUUGGUGCGUUUUACAAUCCUAGCUACAGAGUGCUGAUUGGUGCAUUUUACAAUCCUCUUGUAAGACCAAAGUUCUCUGAGUCCCCACCUGACCCAGAAAUCCAGCUGGCUUCACCUCUCACCUUCAGUGGGGGACGAAGGGGGGUGUGGUGUGAUACAACAGCUUCGUGACUUCAGCUAGUUGGUUUGCAAAGUGCCUGGGAUAGGAAGUGAGGAGCAGGCAGCAGGUGCUGGACCCAGGGAGCACAGCGGGUUCUCUUGCCUCUCUCCAAUACCCUAAUCCUGGGAAGUCUGAUUGGCUGAGGUAGCAAUGUGGUAGCAGCAGGUACAACACUCAACUAGUGCCACCUGUGUCCUGGGAACUGUUAGAAACUCUUGGUACCCUCUGUCGCAGCUCCCUGCAAUGUAGGUGCCAUCAUCACUGUACUUACAGAUGGGGAAGCAGGGGCGCCCAGUCAGGUUUGAGGGUGCAUAAGGCCCUGCCUCCCAGCCUGGGAAGCUAGGGAAAAGAGGGGCCCAUGGGCAGAUUUCUUAGGCCUGUCCUCUUUGGAAGAACGGAGAACAUUUACUAAUUACCAUUCGCUAAUUACCAUUCAGGCAAUUUCCAUAAUUGUCUCAAGAAAAGAUUUGAUCAGCCAAACUGUGAGCAGAAACAGCCUCGGCGGAGGGAAAGCCAAAGGCACAGCACGGGGUGCAGAAACCAAUGGAAACAGACCACACAGGCCACGGGGAGACCCGGAACGUCUGGGUCCAGUCUAGGCCCCUCCCCAUUCUAUAGAAAGGGAAGCUGAGGCGCAUGGAGGCCACGUGGCCCGACCCAGCUCCCAUGGAAAGUCUGUGAGCAAAACGGCAGAUUGUGCAUUGUGUGGGUUGUGCGCCACGUGGAGACAUUGGUAGCGUUGAAAUCCAUCAGGGCACAUUAUGGGGUUCGCUCUUGAAAACCCUCCCAAAGACAAUGCACCGUUCCUUGAAGCUAAUUGCUUUAGUUUGAGGUAAUAUUCGUCACAGAAACACCAGCAGUAACCUUUGGUCUUGGCAAAUUCUCCCCUCAAUCACAUAACGUAAACAGCGAUAAACGAGGGCUUUUUAAGGCUUUCUUCAUAAUGCGUUACACAUGCAUUUGUUACUGAAUCUGCGUGAGCUCCAAGCCCUGAAAUCUGAGCUCAGCUGGGAGGUGAGUGGGCUGGUCCGCCUGCGGUGGGGUCAGCGUCCCCAGGAGACACCCAGCCCAACCGGCCGGGCCCCUUCCCCCACUCCUCCUCCUCCCCUCCCUUCUCCCCACUCCUCCACCUUCUCACCAGCUUCUCUCUCUCCCCUUUCUCUCUAGCCCUUUCUUCUACUCUGUCUCCCUUUGUCUCACCCUGCAUCUCUUCUUUCUUUUUUCUGUCUUUCACUCUCUGGACCUGCUUGUGGUUCUUUUACUUUGUCAUCUUGGCCUCAGUUUCUGUGUGUCGGUGUUCUGCUCUCUGAUUUUCUCUGUAUUUCUCUCCUUGUACGAUUCUCUGUCUCUCCUUGUCUGACUGAUUCUCCCUCUUUGUCUCUUCAUCUCUCUCUCUCAUCUCUGUCUCUCCAACUGUCCCCUUACACAUACCCUGCAAAGAGCCUGGCUCCCCCUCCUCCUUCCUUUUCUACCCAGGGGAUUCAGAGGAGUAUUCACCUAGGGGUGGGGGAUUGCAGCAGUGGAGGAUGAACAAAGCAUUUGGGAGGCUCACAAGAAGGCUCAUGGUCUUUAGGUGGGGGUGGGAGAAGUCAGGGCGGGCUGCGUGGAGGUGAUGAAGUUCAUUUGAGUGAAGUCUGGGAGGAGCAAUAGGAACCGGCCACAUGGAGGUGGCAAGAACAGCAUUUCACGCAGAGGAACCAUGGACGCGCAGGCACAGGGAUGAAACCCUCUUGCUGUCUGCAUGGCCCUCACUGCACAGAGGAGUGACUGCCCCGAUCUGCUAGGCUAAGAGGAGGGCAAGGCGCAGAGAGGGCAAUGCUGCUAGAGGCAGGCCAUGAGUGGGUGACGGCAGGACCCAGCCAUCUCACCUGACCAGACCUGGGCCUUCCUCACUGAGGCAGCUCUUGUUGGCUUCCCAUCCCCAGGGAUCUCUGCAGGGACCACAGGUGGACAAACAGAAGGCUUCCAGAAAAUGGAAGGCUUUAUAGGGAGGGGAAAUGUUGCAGGACUGUGUUAAAAGUCCAUCUUCUUCCCCAGAAACCUGCCUGGUCCAUCUCAGGCAUGUCAGCCCCACCUCUCCAGGCCACAGGCCUCAGCGUGUCUGCUCCCUUCCCCACUCACCAUUGCCCACUUGGCCUCAGACUCUGCAAUUCUACCAGUCAAGCCCUCAUCCCCAUCCUGGACAGUGGCAGCUGCCGCCUCUCAGGCCCUGGCUCCCCGCACCCCCACAGCCUGUCUCCACUGUGGCCACCCAAGCCUGACCAUCCCUCCUCAGAUUAGACCCUCCAUGGCCAUCUCAGAGAGAAGCCGGCCCCACAACGUCCCAGAGACCAUACCUCUGACCCCUCCGUCACCACCGAAUGUUACCUUUUCAGAGGGGCCUCUUGUGGGCCCAAGGCCCUGCAAUUUUGCUUCACUGUGCCCCCCAACACACACAGAAUUUACUUAUUUUCUUGGGUCACUCUCCACCCCCACUUGACUGGGCUCCUAGAGCUGUGUGUUGCCUGCCCUGCCCUGGUGGGACAGUGUCCCUGAGCUGAGAACCUGACACUGGGGUGGGCACAGGAGGGGCUGCAGGCAGGGGAGCUGCAGGGUGCAGGGACAUGGUGCAGGCAUGGGGGCCCCAGGCCCUUCCAAGGGACGCUCCUGUCCCCCAGGUGCCCAGGCCCUCCAGGGAGGCACUCUCCACUUGCUGGGCUCUGCGAUUCAGACAGCGGGACCCUCAUGGGGCCCUGGCCUCACCUGUGAGCAGCAGGCUCUGGGGCUGCUCCAGGAAUGGAGCCAGAGGCCUCUGCAGGCCCUCGUGCUACUCAAAUAACAAGAACAUUGAACAUUGCAGCAGUGUAACGUAAAAGACCAGUUUCCUUCAGCACCCAUUUUAGUGAGCCUGAAAGAGAUUUCCUGACGGCCCCAGCCCAGAACCAGCCCUACGGUGGAGUGUCAGCAGAACCUCCGUGCUCCUCUCUGGCAGCUCCCUUGAGCCUUCAACCCCCUUGCCCAGUGGGGGCUAGGGAGGGGGAGUUGGGGGCAGGUCCUGCAGCCUCACUCCUGCCUUCUAAGGUCACUUCCAGGAAGCAUCUCCUCUGCGCCCUCCGACCUCCUAAACCCCCAAUCCUGAAUCUAUAUCCCCCACAUCAUGGUGAGGGCGGGUUUGUCAGGUUUUAAAAGCUUUAUUUUUUGGGCUUAGGGAUGUUUGAGUUUUCCUUUAAUUUUUCUUCUUUAAAACAUCCUCAUGCAUUACAUAUGCUUACCCACGUUUGAUAUAUUUCACAAUUAUAAAAUAGUUUUUUAAAUAAAAAGGGCACAUGAAUAACGUUAUUCAUUAAGGUUAACUAUCAGGUUAAGAUAAUUAAAGUGUUGUAAGAUCUUAACAUUAUUUACAAGGAAUAAAAAUAGUUAUUAAUGUUAGACUUUGGGAAAUAAUACAUAUUGUAAUUUCUAGAGUAAUCUCAAAAGAAAAAUGGUAUAUAAUUUUCAAACUAGUGGUGGAAAAAAUGAAAUGCUAAAAAUAAUCAAUUCAAAGGAAUAACAGAAAAGAAAUAUGGAACGGACCACAAAUAAAAAGCAGAAAAUAAGAUGGAAAAUUAAAGCCCAGCUAUACCAGUAAUUACAUUCUAUGUACAUGGGCCAAAUGCUUCCAUAAAAGACAAAUGUCAUCAGAUUGAAUUUUAAUAAUUCGAACUACAUGCUCUUUUUUGUUUAAAUGACAAACUUUAUUUUUUAAUUGACACAUUGUAAUUGUACGUAUUUAUAGGGUGCAUUUUGAUGUUUUGAUGUAUAUCUAUGUUGUAUAAUGAUCCAAUUAGGGUAGUUAAUGUAUCCAUCACCUUAUGCAUUUAUCAUUUCUUUGUGGUGAGAACAUUCAAAAGACCCCCUUCUAGCUAUUUUGGAAAAUGCAAUACUCUUUACCAUAGGCACCCUAUUAUGCAAUAGAACACCAGAACUCAUUUCUUCUCUCUAAAUGUAACUUUGUACCUGUUGACUAACCUCUCCCCAUCCUCCCCACUCUCUUCCCUCCCCAGUCUCUGGUAACCACUGUUCUACUCUCUGCUUCUAUGAUUAUCAACUUUUUUUUCCUUUUUAGAUUCCACAUAUGGGCAAGAUUAUGUGGUAUCUGUCUUUCUGUGUCUGGAGUAUUUCGGUUAACAUAAUGUCCUCCAGGUUCAUCCACGUUGCCAAGAUGACAGGACGUCCUUCUUUUUAUGGCUGAAUAGUAUUCCAUUGCAUGUAUGUACCACAUUUUCUGUAUCCAUUCAACCACUGAUGACUCUUAGAUUGACUCCAUAUCUUGGUUGUUGUUGUGAAUAAUGCUGCAAUAAAUGUGGGAGUGCAGAGA
Molecule: long non-coding RNA, 6037 nt
Filed under: Homo sapiens (human)
Lineage: Eukaryota; Metazoa; Chordata; Mammalia; Primates; Hominidae
Description: HSALNT0152297
Source: RNAcentral